RNAcentral lists this unclassified non-coding RNA (370 nucleotides) under soil metagenome. RNAcentral describes it as "partial contains 5.8S ribosomal RNA, internal transcribed spacer 2, and large subunit ribosomal RNA". The stretch from base 1 to 120 matches the Rfam family "5.8S ribosomal RNA", at positions 35 to 154 of the family's 154-position model. The record is from RNAcentral.
GAUGAAGAACGUAGCGAAAUGCGAUACGUAAUGUGAAUUGCAGAAUUCAGUGAAUCAUCGAAUCUUUGAACGCACAUUGCGCCCGCCAGCAUUCUGGCGGGCAUGCCUGUUCGAGCGUCAUUUCAACCCUCGAGCCCGACUUCCUUGCGGAGGACGGCUCGGCGUUGGGGGACGGCACACUCCCCCCGGCUCGCCGGGGACGCCGCCCCCGAAAUUCAGUGGCGGCCCUCGGAGGCGACCUCUGCGUAGUAACUCAACCUCGCAAAGGGAAGCUCCGAGCGGCCACGCCGUGAAACCCCAACUAUAUCAAGGUUGACCUCGAAUCAGGUAGGACUACCCGCUGAACUUAAGCAUAUCAAUAAGCGGAGGA